Molecule: ribosomal RNA, 495 nt
Filed under: uncultured bacterium
Lineage: Bacteria
Description: partial 16S ribosomal RNA
Rfam family: Bacterial small subunit ribosomal RNA
Source: RNAcentral
GACGAACGCUGGCGGCGUGCCUAAUACAUGCAAGUCGAACGCUGAAGGAGGAGCUUGCUUCUCUGGAUGAGUUGCGAACGGGUGAGUAACGCGUAGGUAACCUGCCUGGUAGCGGGGGAUAACUAUUGGAAACGAUAGCUAAUACCGCAUAACAGUAGAUAUCGCAUGAUAUCUACUUGAAAGGUGCAAUUGCAUCACUACCAGAUGGCCCUGCGUUGUAUUAGCUAGUUGGUGAGGUAACGGCUCACCAAGGCGACGAUACAUAGCCGACCUGAGAGGGUGAUCGGCCACACUGGGACUGAGACACGGCCCAGACUCCUACGGGAGGCAGCAGUAGGGAAUCUUCGGCAAUGGACGGAAGUCUGACCGAGCAACGCCGCGUGAGUGAAGAAGGUUUUCGGAUCGUAAAGCUCUGUUGUAAGAGAAGAACGAGUGUGAGAGUGGAAAGUUCACACUGUGACGGUAUCUUACCAGAAAGGGACGGCUAACUACGUG